GAGUUUGAUCUUGGCUCAGAUUGAACGCUGGCGGCAGGCCUAACACAUGCAAGUCGAGCGGUAGAGAGAAGCUUGCUUCUCUUGAGAGCGGCGGACGGGUGAGUAAUGCCUAGGAAUCUGCCUGGUAGUGGGGGAUAACGCUCGGAAACGGACGCUAAUACCGCAUACGUCCUACGGGAGAAAGCAGGGGACCUUCGGGCCUUGCGCUAUCAGAUGAGCCUAGGUCGGAUUAGCUAGUUGGUGAGGUAAUGGCUCACCAAGGCGACGAUCCGUAACUGGUCUGAGAGGAUGAUCAGUCACACUGGAACUGAGACACGGUCCAGACUCUACGGGAGGCAGCAGUGGGGAAUAUUGGACAAUGGGCGAAAGCCUGAUCCAGCCAUGCCGCGUGUGUGAAGAAGGUCUUCGGAUUGUAAAGCACUUUAAGUUGGGAGAAGGGCAGUAAAUUAAUACUUUGCUGUUUUGACGUUACCGACAGAAUAAGCACGGCUAACUCUGUGCCAGCCGCCG
Molecule: ribosomal RNA, 510 nt
Filed under: uncultured bacterium
Lineage: Bacteria
Description: bacterial SSU rRNA
Rfam family: Bacterial small subunit ribosomal RNA
Source: RNAcentral